This 468-nucleotide ribosomal RNA is filed under the name uncultured bacterium. Its description in RNAcentral is "partial 16S ribosomal RNA". It matches the Rfam family "Bacterial small subunit ribosomal RNA", at positions 28 to 507 of the family's 1533-position model. The record is from RNAcentral.
GACGAACGCUGGCGGCGUGCUUAACACAUGCAAGUCGAACGGAAAGGCCCUGCUUUUGUGGGGUGCUCGAGUGGCGAACGGGUGAGUAACACGUGAGUAACCUGCCCUUGACUUUGGGAUAACUUCAGGAAACUGGGGCUAAUACCGGAUAGGAGCUCCUGCUGCAUGGUGGGGAUUGGAAAGUUUCGGCGGUUGGGGCUGGACUCGCGGCUUAUCAGCUUGUUGGUGGGGUAGUGGCUUACCAAGGCUUUGACGGGUAGCCGGCCUGAGAGGGUGACCGGCCACAUUGGGACUGAGAUACGGCCCAGACUCCUACGGGAGGCAGCAGUGGGGAAUAUUGCACAAUGGGCGGAAGCCUGAUGCAGCAACGCCGCGUGCGGGAUGACGGCCUUCGGGUUGUAAACCGCUUUCGCCUGUGACGAAGCGUGAGUGACGGUAAUGGGUAAAGAAGCACCGGCUAACUACGUG